This 512-nucleotide long non-coding RNA is filed under the name Pan troglodytes (chimpanzee). Its description in RNAcentral is "long non-coding RNA NONPTRT003897". The record is from RNAcentral. Lineage: Eukaryota; Metazoa; Chordata; Mammalia; Primates; Hominidae.
UCUGGUUCCAUCCAGGCCCAAGGACCACUGAACUGGAGCGGUCUUCUCCAUCCCCCAGCAAGCUUGUGCGUGAGCUGGGGACAAGGGGCAGAGGAGGCAGAGGUCCCCCUCACACCAGGAAGGGAACAGCGCCACUAAAGGGCCUGGUGGAGGCAGGGUGGAGGUGGAAGGAGACUCAGCAGAAGGGAUGAGGAAACUGAGGCUGAGAGGGUAGAGAACUUUGCCUGAGGUCACUCAGCAGGGACCCACCCAUCACAGUAAAUGCCAGCACUGCUGAUGCCAAAACAAUGUUAUUUGUUGAGCCCGGUGCCCCCUCGCCCUCCUCAGCAGUGCCUGCACGUCCCCUCGCCACAAUGUCAUGUGCCACCUCUUCAAAGGAGGGAUGUACCAGCUAGUGGACGUGACCUUGACUGCAAAGGGCGGCGCGCAGCUGAUGUAAUGGUCGCUUAAGUGUUCACAAAUGUAAGUCAUUACUAUUAUAAGUGGUGGGUGAUCAAGUGGCUAGGGGUGCC